CGGAGGGAGAAUGCAGAGGCCGGGCUGGGUGGUUCCCUGUGACCUAUGUUGAACGACGACUCAGCACACCCGUCAGCAGAGCGGUGGAAGAAGCGUCCUAGCCUGCUUCCGAGCCCUGGAACAUGAAAAAUCCAUGUGAGUAAUACUGUUCUCGGAUCUGGCUACUUUUCAAGGCUGAUCUCCCUCGGAGAAAUCAUCUGCUAGGCCUCGAGCUGCCCCCCCGUCCAGCUUCCAUUCAUGUGGAGUCUCAUGGGUUCACCCGUUCUUCCUGUGCUCCCUCUUAUGUGUGUGUGUGUGUGUGUGUGUGUGUGGGUGCCACUUACCGAUAUAUCCAGCCUCUUCAUCUCGAUUCUCUCCUCUGAAUUUACUUAAAAUGCAGUUGACUUCCACAUCUAUUUCUUGCGCUCUUAUCGUUGACUAAUUUUCCUGCAAUUUAGUACGUUGUGUCGAGUACGGUUUGGCUGGAUCAUGAGCAUUCGUCCUUUAGUACUGUGUCGGCGAGUGAUGAUUAACAAGCGAUGGAUCAUGAGCUAGCCUGACGUUGACUUUUAGCGUAAUAGUAUUAUACUCGGUCGGAAUAAGGCAGAUGAUGGGCAGGGGCAGAUGUUAGAGGGCAGCCGAAAUUUGUCCACGCAGGGCCACGAGGAGAUGACCCAGUUCCCUGUUAGCUACUCUUCACUAGCGCGUUGACCUAGCUCCUCCCGCAAGUGGUUCGGUCAACAGUUUGACUACCAGUAAAGCUGUUGCUUGAGUGUGGUCAACUGAGCUGGUAAGUUCCAGCGAGGGUGUGGAGAGAAGAGCAGCAGAAUGAGAAGAAGAUAAAUAUGGCAGAUGUAAAAGUUGCAAUGACCACUCACAAAGGAAGAAAUGCAUUAUUUAACCGUAAAAUAUCUUAGGUUGAUCGAAUGGGUACACAAUUAAAUAAAACCGAUGGAUAAAAUAAAGAUGGAAGUGGAAUGCAAAGUUACUAAAAGGACCAAACUAAAUAAUUAGCGAACACAAGAAAACCCUGGUGAAAAUUGGAAAAUGAGACUCAGUACAAUAAGGGGAAAUAAAUAAAUGCGGAAGCAUCUACCAUAAAAGUAGCUUAAAAUAAUAAUAAUAAGAAUAAUAAUAAGAAUAAGGGUAGGCUAGUCAGGAUAGCGCCGAAUGAUUGAAGCCCAAAGUCAGUAUGCUGGUAUCUUCGGGCAGCAUCUUUGGUGAUUCGAGGAGAGAUAAGGGAAUUUUCCGAAAAACCCAGAUAAAGCAAAUCACACGAGAAAAACCCAUAGAAGUAUCUAAGACUUUAAACCGACCCUCGCGCGCCGACAGAUGUGAAGCCAGCAACCCAAUAAAAAUUACGCCAUGUACGCAUCCAGAGAGGUCGGUGGAAGGAUGGGUUUACUAAUCGAGGUAAAUGUAGGGUCUGAAUUUUGACGAAGGCAAAGAGAAGGUGAUGUAGGUAAAUUUUCUCUCUCCCCCCUCCUCCCCUCUCUCUUUCUCCCUCUUUCUCUCUCUCUCUCUACGCACUAUUUUUCUCUCUCCUCUUCCUUCUCUACGUAGGGCUCCUCACCGGGCCGGGCAUCGGGUCCAGGUUGGGCUUGGGCUCGUCGUUGAUGGGCCCCACUGGGCCUAAUGAGGACGAACUUUGUAAAUACUAUUAUUUUGUGGGUAUAAGAGCUCAUCGAAACGGGUGGAGGCCUCGGAAUGCAAAAAAAGUUCUUACGAGGUUAUAGCGAGGUGGCGUCGGCGCCGGUCUUCGUCGCCCGAGCGCGGAAAGAAGGCCGUCGUCGUCAGCGCAGGCCUUGAGGACGAUGAUCAGCGUGUGGGAGGGGCCCUACGAUUGGCUAUGGAGGUUUCCUGAGCAUCAAGGAACAAUGAAGAAUGCACAAUUAUACGCUGAUAUGCAUGAGAAAGUACGAUCAUGGCGGAUUUCCGGAGCCACCAAGGAAGCCGGAGAAGAAAGCAAUGCAGGAGCAAAAGGGAUGCGAAAUGCUCGCGCCUUCGUCCCCAUAAUUUUGAAUUUGGAACAAAGCCGAUCGACUCUGAUUCCGGGGAGUUCCCAGCCCAAGGUGACGCGAAUUUGCAGGGACAAGGGUUGAGGAAAGUGGAAGCCAAGAGAGAAGCAGUUCCACGACCUGCCGAUUGGAGGAACACUCUCCUUCCGACAUUGGGGGCAAAUUGGUCGCAGACACGAGCACGCUUCGAAAGUGUUGCUCAUCAGAGGCACAGGCUGAUGAACAGCAGAUGAAAGACUAAUGCCGCAAGCCGCAGUAAUACUUACGGAGAGAGGAUCUGUCCGGCGCAGGCGGGAAGAAACUUUACCGACGACGAAGCGAAUGGCGACGAGAAACGGGGCAGCAGAGAGUAGGCAGGAGGCGAGGCGCACCGCACGGGCUGCCGCUGGCUGGCCCGCUCUUCACUAGCAUCCCAUGAGAGCGCUCGCCGAGAUGCCCUCCAAGAGAUGGCGCUGCGCAGCGCGGCGAAAUGCCGAC
RNAcentral lists this long non-coding RNA (2474 nucleotides) under Spirodela polyrhiza (greater duckweed). RNAcentral's name for it is "long non-coding RNA (SPOL_LNC002436)". Lineage: Eukaryota; Viridiplantae; Streptophyta; Magnoliopsida; Alismatales; Araceae. The record is from RNAcentral.